RNAcentral lists this non-coding RNA (234 nucleotides) under Roseburia sp. RNAcentral describes it as "T-box sequence". It matches the Rfam family "T-box leader". Rfam says of the family: Uncharged tRNA acts as the effector for transcription antitermination of genes in the T-box leader family. T-boxes are found upstream of many aminoacyl-tRNA synthetase genes and some amino acid biosynthetic genes usually in Gram-positive bacteria. Lineage: Bacteria; Bacillati; Bacillota; Clostridia; Lachnospirales; Lachnospiraceae. The record is from RNAcentral.
GACAAUGCAAUGAAGAGGAAUAGUAGGAUUCAAGGAUUUUUCAGAGAGCUGUCGGCAGGUGCGAGGCAGUAGAUUUUGAAUUUGAACUCGCCUUGGAGCAGCCAGGCAGAAGACUUCGACGGAAGUUGUUUAGGUUUGGACGGUUAAUCUUCGAUAAAAGAUUAUGAGUGCGUGUUUGUUUAUAAACAGACACGAAACAGAGUGGUACCACGGAGUAUAAUCUUCGUCUCUUAA